CAAGUCUGAAAAAUGAUCGCGAUGCAUGCUGCAUCGAGGAAAGUCCGAGCUCCAUAGGGCAGGGUGCUGGAUAACGUCCAGCGAGGGCGACCUUAGGGAAAGUGCCACAGAAAAAAACCGCCGGGGAACCGGUAAGGGUGCAACGGUGCGGUAAGAGCGCACCAGCAGUCAGGUGACUGGCUGGCUAGGUAAACCCCACCUGGAGCAAGACCAAAUAGGGAAGGGAUGAGGCGGCCCGCUGAGCCUUCCGGGUGUGUCGCUAGAGCCGGCAGGCAACUGACGGCCGAGAUAGAUGAUCAUUACCACGCCGUGCGGUGUGGGACAGAACUCGGCUUAAUGAGGACUUGAGCA
RNAcentral lists this RNase P RNA (351 nucleotides) under Acetonema longum DSM 6540. Its description in RNAcentral is "Bacterial RNase P class A". It matches the Rfam family "Bacterial RNase P class A". From Rfam's summary of the family: Ribonuclease P (RNase P) is a ubiquitous endoribonuclease, found in archaea, bacteria and eukarya as well as chloroplasts and mitochondria. Its best characterised activity is the generation of mature 5'-ends of tRNAs by cleaving the 5'-leader elements of precursor-tRNAs. Lineage: Bacteria; Bacillati; Bacillota; Negativicutes; Acetonemataceae. The record is from Rfam by way of RNAcentral.